This 1497-nucleotide ribosomal RNA is filed under the name archaeon. RNAcentral's name for it is "bacterial SSU rRNA". It matches the Rfam family "Archaeal small subunit ribosomal RNA". The record is from RNAcentral.
AAUUCCAGCUGAUCCUGCUGGUGGAUACUGCUAUUGGAAUCUGACUAAGACAUGCAAGUCUUAAAGCCUCAGCUAUGAGAGGUUUUGGCGAACGGCUCAGUAACACGUGGUCAACCUACCCUUUUGAAGAGUUAAACUCGGGAAACUGAGUAUAAUGCUCUAUAAAAAAGUAAAUCUGGAAUGAUUACUAUUUUAAAGGUCAAAGAAUCAUGCUUCUUUGGCGCGAAAGGAUGGGACUGCGCCAGAUUAGGUUGUUGGUAGGGUAACUGCCUACCAAGCCGAAGAUCUGUACGGGCCUUGAGAGAGGUAGCCCGGAGAAGGGAACUGAGAUAAUGUCCCUAGCCCUACGGGGUGCAGCAGUUACGAAACUUUUACAAUGCGAGAAAUCGUGAUAAAGAGAUUCCAAGUGCUUACUAUGUAAGCUUUUAUAUAGUGUGAAUAACUAUGUGAAUAAGGGGAGGGCAAUAUGCGUGCCAGCCGCCGCGGUAAUACGUAAUCCCCAAGUGGUAUCCAGCAUUAUUUGGCUUAAAGCGUGUGUAGCUGGUUUGUUAAGUCUUUUGUGAAAGCAGCUAGCCUAACUAGUUGAAUUGCAAAAGAUACUGGCAUGACUAGGAACCGGAAGACGUUAAGGGUAUUUUUAGAGUAGGAGUAGAAUCUUAAGAUACUAAAAAGACCACCUGUGGCGAAGGCGCUUAACGAGUACGGAUUCGACAGUGAGAUACGAAAGCUGGGGGCGCAACCCGGAUUAGAUACCCGGUUAGUCCCAGCCGUAAACGAUGUGAAUUAGGUGUUGGGUUAACUACGAGUUAGCUCAGGGCCGAAGGGAAACCAUUAAAUUCACCGCCUGGGAAGUAUGGUCGCAAGACUGAAACUUAAUGGAAUUGGCGGGGGUGCACUACAAGGGGUGGAUGCUGCGGUUUAAUUGGAUGAAACGCCAGAUAUUUUACCAGGGCUGACAGCAAUAUGAUGGUCACUCUGAAGGGGUUACCUGAUGCGCUGAGAACUGCUGUAUGGCCAUCGUCAGCUCGUACUGUGAAGCUUCCUGUUAACUCAGGUAACGGGCGAGACCCAUGCUAUUAGUUGCUACUUUUUUUGCUUGCAAAAGAAGGCACUCUAAUAGGACUGCAUUGGUAACAAUGAGGAAGGAGUGGGCGAAGGUAGGUCUGUAUAGCGUGAAUGUUCUGGGCAACACGCGGCAUACAAUGGCUAAGACAAAGAGUAUCUAACCUGAAAAGGGGUGGCAAUCUCAAAAACUUAGUCUAAGUCCGGAUUGAGGGUUGCAACUCACCCUCAUGAAGCUGGAAUCCCCAGUAAUCGCGUGUCACUAUCACGCGGUGAAUAUGUCCCUGCGCCUUGCACACACCGCCCAUCAAGCCAACCGAGUGGAGUGUUGAUGAACUUUACUCUACUAAAGGAUAAAGUUAUUCUAUAUUUCGCGAGGUAGACUAAGUUGUAACAAGGUGUCCGUAGGGGAACCUGCGGACGGAUCACCUCCUA